This 10899-nucleotide long non-coding RNA is filed under the name Triticum aestivum (bread wheat). Its description in RNAcentral is "long non-coding RNA (TAES_LNC007808)". Lineage: Eukaryota; Viridiplantae; Streptophyta; Magnoliopsida; Poales; Poaceae. The record is from RNAcentral.
ACUGCUGCUGCUCUUCUUCCCCACGUUCCUGCUCUGCACUCUGCUUCUCACCUCCGUUGCUGCUGUUUCUCUUCUGAACCUCUGCUACUGUUCAGCUCUGAACCUCUGCAUCUGUGUUGAAUGUGCUUUCAGUGUUCUUGACAUGUGUAAAACUGUUCAAUAUUCAGCUUACAAUUUGUGAAACUUUUGUGAUACAGUGAUGUCUCUAUGUUAUACAUAUAGCUUGUGUACUGCUUGCUGCAGUAAAUUUCAGUUUGUAAGUUCCUGUGAUAGCUCCAGUACAUGUGACUUUUAUGUUGUCUCAAGUUCCUGUUAUAUAUAUACAUAUGUGUGUGUCUGUGAUGUGAUACAUUUAUGUUCUGUCCUACAACCUUAUUGUGUUAGCAUUUUAUUUCUCAUGUAAAACGAAAAUACCAAAAAUAUUAUUGAAGAUAAUCUGAACCUCCUUUGCCCUUUUUGCAUUUUCUUUGGUGACGAUCUUUGGGUACAACCUUGUUUAGUGUAGGUUUAUUUUCUUGCAUUCAUAAUCUGAAUUGUGUUACCUAGCUUUAGCCAACCACCGUCAUUGAUUUGCCUAGUCCCUCAUGAGAACACGACACUCAUAGUUUGGGGCGUAAAAACCCCGCUAUAUUACAAUUGAUCAUUUUGGCGCCGUUGCCGGGGACUAGCGUCGAGCGAUUGUGCGAAGCUAUAGACUAGGCUUAGUAUAGUUUUUGUUUAAAUUUCCAGUCAAAUUUAUUUCUGUGUUUCUUUUACCUUUUUACUAUUUGUUGCUUCGGCUUAUUAGGAUACUAACCCUCUCACCAAUGUUUCAUGUUUGUGAGCGUGUGUAGGAUAUCUUAUUAUUUGUAGGCUGAUUGACAGUUGCACUUGAACAUAUGGCUUUAGUACGUGAUCUUUGGUUGCCAAGUAGUUUGGACACGAUGACAGGGCCAAUUUGGCCAUCUAUUGAGGCCAAAAAUUUUGAGUUGAGGCCUGGACUUAUUGCUCUCGUCUUGCAGAAUCAGUUUAGAGGAUUACCCAAUGAAGACCCUCAUGAGCACAUUAGUAAUGUUCUGGAGUAUGCCAAUACAGUCUAGUAUCAUGGCGUUUCCCAAGAUGCUAUCAAGUGUAUGUUGUUCACAUUCUCUCUCAGAGAUGCUGCUAAGGACUGGUACUAUUCUUUUCCAUCAAGAUCAUACACUUGGGGUGAUAUUUCACAAGCUUUCCUGCAUAGAUAUUUUCCACUUUACAAGCAAGCUGCAAUUCGUGACCAGAUCCUCAGUUCUGCGCAAGAUGGUAGUGAGAGCUUGUAUGCAGCUUGGGAGAGAUAUAAGUAUUUGCUUAGAAAAUGUCCUAAUCAUGGGCAAAAGGAUUGGUUAGUGCUUCAGAUAUUCUAUAGAGGGAUGACACAUGCUUCAAGAGAUCUUAUUGAUAUGUCAACUGGUGGAACAAUCAUGAACAAGACCGUCGAGGGUGCAAUUAUUCUCAUUGAGAGCAUUGCCUUCCACCAAAUUCAAUGGGGUUAUCAAAGGCCUAGUUCAAAUCCGAAGGUUGCAAGCCUCGUGCAAUCAAAAGUUGUGUGUUCCAUAAGUGAACAGAAAUCAUCCAUGGUGCCUAAUAUUCAAAACCAGCAUGUUUCAUUCCGGGGACAACAACAUUUCAGAACUGAAUUAGAUCCUCCAUAUAGAACGAUUGAUCUUACUUCAAUUAUCCUUGAUGAUGAUUAUGAUAUUUUUCAAGAUGAUGAAACUACUGUAGAUCAGAUGGAAACCACAGUAGCAGAUCCAAUACCUCAUGGCAAUGAAACUAUCCAGAAUGAGUCAAAGCUGCAAGAAGAUGUUUAUGAGGAACCUACUCUGAUUGAUGCUAAGUUGAGACAGCAAGAUAUGGAGAAAUUCACUUGUGUUAGUCAACUAUGUGACUGGUGGAAUUUAGUCGUGUCACCAAUUGCCCACACUUGUGUUACAACGGUAUCUGGGCUAUUUGUCAAGAAGAAAUCAUUAGCUCCACCGGUGGUUGCCUCUAUCACAGUUAAAGAGAGUAUCUCAGAGAAGAAUAGUGAAGAUGAGAUUCCAACUCCUGCACAUACAACUAAGCAAGUCGGAGCCAUUCCAAGGAGAGAGAUACAAGAGGUUGAGUCAAAUUUAGAAGAGUUGAUACUUCAAUAUCCUGAGAAGAUCCCACGUGUUGCUGAGCUGCAUGACUGGUGGAAGUCAUCAGUGUCACUGUUGAGACUUAGUAGUGAUGGUGAUGAGGAGAACAUUGCUCACAAAGACAGUGAGGUAGUGAUCUCAGCACCCCUACCAGAUCAUGUUAGUGAAUAUUCACAUAUGGGGACACUUCAGACUCAAUUAAGUGUUGCUGGUAGUAGCACCAUAGAAGAUCCNNNNNNNNNNNNNNNNNNNNNNNNNNNNNNNNNNNNNNNNNNNNNNNNNNNNNNNNNNNNNNNNNNNNNNNNNNNNNNNNNNNNNNNNNNNNNNNNNNNNNNNNNNNNNNNNNNNNNNNNNNNNNNNNNNNNNNNNNNNNNNNNNNNNNNNNNNNNNNNNNNNNNNNNNNNNNNNNNNNNNNNNNNNNNNNNNNNNNNNNNNNNNNNNNNNNNNNNNNNNNNNNNNNNNNNNNNNNNNNNNNNNNNNNNNNNNNNNNNNNNNNNNNNNNNNNNNNNNNNNNNNNNNNNNNNNNNNNNNNNNNNNNNNNNNNNNNNNNNNNNNNNNNGAGGAAGAGAGUCCUCAACUUGAAGAAGAUUUACAAGAAGACAAGGAACAAGAUGAUCAAGAGCUGCAAUUUCCAAGUGAUCAAGUUGAAGACUCAUCAUCUACUACUCCUGAAGAAGUACAAGAAGCUGCUGUAGAUGAAGAUGAAGAACCUGAGAUUCAUUGGCCUAUUGUCAUACAUGAGCGCGAUGUGUCAGGUUUACCCAAUCCUCUUGAUGACAUGCUCCCUUGUGAUUUCUUUGCUUCUAACUUGCAUUGCAUGAUGCCAUCACUUAAGGUAGAUUUGAAAAACUAUUUGCUUGGACAUGAUCAUACACACCCUGUUAGUGGCAUUACUCUCAUUUGUGAUGAUCACAGUUACUUUCCUCGUGCUAGUUCUAUGCUUAAUGAAACAUAUCAUUCCCAUGUUAGUCUUGAGCUUAAUGAUAAAUAUCAUCCUCAUGUUAGCAUUGAGCUUACUGAUUUGUACCGUCCUAAACAUGUGCUUUAUAGCUAUGCUUAUGUAAUUGGGUACUCUAUAGAUGAUUUAGAGGGCAUUACCCUUGUCACUUGUAUUGUUUCCUUGGUUGAGUGCUCUUUCAGGUUGUUGCUUGUGCACGAUCCACUACAUGCUGACCAAGUUCGAGAUGACAUUCCCUGGGACCCCGGUGGACCCAUGGCAUGGGGAUGAGGAGAAGCAAGGAGCACACAUGAAGAGAGAAGCUGGAGCAGGCAUGAGGAUAGGGAAGCAAAAAGAGAAGAGCUGCAGCUUAGAGAGUGAUCAAGCGAGUGCUACUUCAUAGUGCCCGGUUAGCUGUUUCAUGACCCAUUCUGAGUAUAUCAUCCAUUGAUGCUUGCUGAAUUAACUUGCUAUUUGGGUUGCUUGUGCCAUUUCUUAAAUGUUGUCCCACUGAAUUUCACCUUUGACAUAUGGUGCUUGAUGAGAAUAUGCGAACUAAUUGUUGAAUGCCUUGUAACUAGUGAUCUACACCCUGUUUGCUCUGCUGAAAGUAGUGAAAGCUGUUAGUUCUGAGUGCUCAAAUCCCUAGUACACUAGAAAACUAAAUCAUUUUCUGCAUUUACUAUGAUACACCUACAUCACCAUGUUUAGAUGCUGAAUUUUUGCCAAGUGUGUUCCCAUUGAGAGCAAUCACCUAACCACUAUGGAAUAGCAUGCUAUGUUCCCUGGAUCGGUAGCAUGUGAACCAGACAUGGAGAAGUGAUGAUUCCUGUUUUUGUGCUUAUGCAUUGUUCAUUUAAGAUAAGUAAUAAUGAAUAAAUUAGUCUGACUACCUACAGUAGCAUGUCAUGUUCUUGGGAUCGGUGGCAUGUGAAAUCGGGUUAGCUUGGGCAGUAAUAAUAUAAAAAUGUAAUUGUCGAACCAGGUGUAUACCAUGUUCUCGGGAUCGGUGGUAUGUUCCUUUGGGGAGACAAACAAGAAAACUAUAUAAUUGGUCGAGCCGGGUGUAUACCAUGUUCUCGAGAUCGGUGGUAUGUUCCUUUGGUGAGAUCAAUAAAAUAUUAGCAUUACUUCCUUCAAAUUCAAUAAGUGGUUCAACAACAAAGUUAUAUUUCUGCAAAUAAGAGAUUUAAUUCCAGUUCUUUUUGUUCUCGGGAUCAUGCUCUCUUUAGGAAUCAUUUGGCGCAAUCAUCAUUUAAACUUGUUGGUCCUCUUUUAUCAUUGUAAAAGUUUAAAAUGGUCAUGCUUACCAGUAUCCUACUGCUUUGUAGCACUCUUAACCAUCAAUUUUCACUAGCUAAGUCCAAAAGCAUGCAUUGUUUAGAGAUCUACUUCACUUGGACAUUCUUUACUCAGUUCACUGUUCACAUUCUUGCUCUUGUCAUAUGCCUUUGCUUGAGGACAAGCAAAGAUUUAAGUGUGGGGGAACUUGAUAAGUAUAUUUCACAUAUAUAAUUUUGGUACUCAAAUAUAGCUUCUAUCGUGACAUAUUCGUCCAUUCUUGCCAUGAUUGAUUGAAUAUUGCUUGAUAAUCAUCAAAAAGGAUCAUUUACUAGUCUUUGGUCUAUCUUGCAGAAAUGUGCACAAAGGCACUAAUAAUCGUCAAGAUUCCGUCUAUGUGGCUAUCGAGAAGAGUGAAGAAGAGAAGAGAAGGAAGAAGAGACUUGUGUGAGAUGAAGAGAAGUAACCAGGGGGCUAGGUAAAGAAGUGGGAGGACCUUCUUGUGAAGAAAGAAGAGAAGAAAGAGGGCCAAAUCACAAAGUGCAGAUGAGAGGAGGGGAACAAAAUCCCUAGGCGCUGGAGGGAUCCGAUCGGGCCUGGCCAUAUCUCCAUCUCUCUUCUCCCCCACCACUUCUUCCACCUCAGGCCGCUGUCUCGGCCAGGCCGGCGUGGUGGUGCGCCUCUGCAGCCCAGCCACCACCAUCUCCAUCCAUCUCCGCUGCGCCACCAUCCACAUCAGCGCCGCUGCGCCAUCCAUCACCAGCACCAACACCCAGCGCCACCCAGCACCUCCACACACUCCACACCGCCGCCAUCCAUCACCACCGCACCACUGAACACCUCCGCGCGAGAGUUUCCCUGCUGCCGUCCUUCUUCCCUUGCCUCUGCUGCUGCUCUUGCUUGCGCCCCUGUGCUGCUGCCUUUCUUCUCCCCUUGCUACUGCUCCCCUUUUCUAGCGCCUCAACCUGCUGCUCCUUCUCCUUCGCCUGCUGCUAGUCCCUUUCCCCAUGCCUCUGCUGCUCCUCCUCUUAAAACUGCUGCUGCUCUUCUUCCCCACGUUCCUGCUCUGCACUCUGCUUCUCACCUCCGUUGCUGCUGUUUCUCUUCUGAACCUCUGCUACUGUUCAGCUCUGAACCUCUGCAUCUGUGUUGAAUGUGCUUUCAGUGUUCUUGACAUGUGUAAAACUGUUCAAUAUUCAGCUUACAAUUUGUGAAACUUUUGUGAUACAGUGAUGUCUCUAUGUUAUACAUAUAGCUUGUGUACUGCUUGCUGCAGUAAAUUUCAGUUUGUAAGUUCCUGUGAUAGCUCCAGUACAUGUGACUUUUAUGUUGUCUCAAGUUCCUGUUAUAUAUAUACAUAUGUGUGUGUCUGUGAUCUGAAACAUUUAUGUUCUAUCCUACAACCUUAUUGUGUUAGCAUUUUAUUUCUCAUGUAAAACGAAAAUACCAAAAAUAUUAUUGAAGAUAAUCUGAACCUCCUUUGCCCUUUUUGCAUUUUCUUUGGUGACGAUCUUUGGGUACAACCUUGUUUAGUGUAGGUUUAUUUUCUUGCAUUCAUAAUCUGAAUUGUGUUACCUAGCUUUAGCCAACCACCGUCAUUGAUUUGCCUAGUCCCUCAUGAGAACACGACACUCAUAGUUUGGGGCGUAAAAACCCCGCUAUAUUACAAUUGAUCAUUUUGGCGCCGUUGCCGGGGACUAGCGUCGAGCGAUUGUGCGAAGCUAUAGACUAGGCUUAGUAUAGUUUUUGUUUAAAUUUCCAGUCAAAUUUAUUUCUGUGUUUCUUUUACCUUUUUACUAUUUGUUGCUUCGGCUUAUUAGGAUACUAACCCUCUCACCAAUGUUUCAUGUUUGUGAGCGUGUGUAGGAUAUCUUAUUAUUUGUAGGCUGAUUGAUAGUUGCACUUGAACAUAUGGCUUUAGUACGUGAUCUUUGGUUGCCAAGUAGUUUGGACACGAUGACAGGGCCAAUUUGGCCAUCUAUUGAGGCCAAAAAUUUUGAGUUGAGGCCUGGACUUAUUGCUCUCGUCUUGCAGAAUCAGUUUAGAGGAUUACCCAAUGAAGACCCUCAUGAGCACAUUAGUAAUGUUCUGGAGUAUGCCAAUACAGUCUAGUAUCAUGGCGUUUCCCAAGAUGCUAUCAAGUGUAUGUUGUUCACAUUCUCUCUCAGAGAUGCUGCUAAGGACUGGUACUAUUCUUUUCCAUCAAGAUCAUACACUUGGGGUGAUAUUUCACAAGCUUUCCUGCAUAGAUAUUUUCCACUUUACAAGCAAGCUGCAAUUCGUGACCAGAUCCUCAGUUCUGCGCAAGAUGGUAGUGAGAGCUUGUAUGCAGCUUGGGAGAGAUAUAAGUAUUUGCUUAGAAAAUGUCCUAAUCAUGGGCAAAAGGAUUGGUUAGUGCUUCAGAUAUUCUAUAGAGGGAUGACACAUGCUUCAAGAGAUCUUAUUGAUAUGUCAACUGGUGGAACAAUCAUGAACAAGACCGUCGAGGGUGCAAUUAUUCUCAUUGAGAGCAUUGCCUUCCACCAAAUUCAAUGGGGUUAUGAAAGGCCUAGUUCAAAUCCGAAGGUUGCAAGCCUCGUGCAAUCAAAAGUUGUGUGUUCCAUAAGUGAACAGAAAUCAUCCAUGGUGCCUAAUAUUCAAAACCAGCAUGUUUCAUUCCGGGGACAACAACAUUUCAGAACUGAAUUAAAUCCUCCAUAUAGAACGAUUGAUCUUACUUCAAUUAUCCUUGAUGAUGAUUAUGAUAUUUUUCAAGAUGAUGAAACUACUGUAGAUCAGAUGGAAACCACAGUAGCAGAUCCAAUACCUCAUGGCAAUGAAACUGUCCAGAAUGAGUCAAAGCUGCAAGAAGAUGUUUAUGAGGAACCUACUCUGAUUGAUGCUAAGUUGAGACAGCAAGAUAUGGAGAUAUUCACUUGUGUUAGUCAACUAUGUGACUGGUGGAAUUUAGUCGUGUCACCAAUUGCCCACACUUGUGUUACAACGGUAUCUGGGCUAUUUGUCAAGAAGAAAUCAUUAGCUCCACCGGUGGUUGCCUCUAUCACAGUUAAAGAGAGUAUCUCAGAGAAGAAUAGUGAAGAUGAUAUUCCAACUCCUGCACAUACAACUAAGCAAGUCGGAGCCAUUCCAAGGAGAGAGAUACAAGAGGUUGAGUCAAAUUUAGAAGAGUUGAUACUUCAAUAUCCUGAGAAGAUCCCACGUGUUGCUGAGCUGCAUGACUGGUGGAAGUCAUCAGUGUCACUGUGGAGACUUAGUAGUGAUGGUGAUGAGGAGAACAUUGCUCAGAAAGACAACGAGGUAGUGAUCUCAGCACCCCUACCAGAUCAUGUUAGUGAAUAUUCACAUAUGGGGACACUUCAGACUCAAUUAAGUGUUGCUGGUAGUAGCACCAUAGAAGAUCCAGAGGAAGAGAGUCCUCAACUUGAAGAAGAUUUACAAGAAGACAAGGAACAAGAUGAUCAAGAGCUGCAAUUUCCAAGUGAUCAAGUUGAAGACUCAUCAUCUACUACUCCUGAAGAAGUACAAGAUGCUGCUAUAGAUGAAGAUGAAGAACCUGAGAUUCAUUGGCCUAUUGUCAUACAUGAGCGCGAUGUGUCAGGUUUACCCAAUCCUCUUGAUGACAUGCUCCCUUGUGACUUCUUUGCUUCUAACUUGCAUUGCAUGAUGCCAUCACUUAAGGUAGAUUUGAAAAACUAUUUGCUUGGACAUGAUCAUACACACCCUGUUAGUGGCAUUACUCUCAUUUGUGAUGAUCACAGUUACUUUCCUCGUGCUAGUUCUAUGCUUAAUGAAACAUAUCAUUCCCAUGUUAGUCUUGAGCUUAAUGAUAAAUAUCAUCCUCAUGUUAGCAUUGAGCUUACUGAUUUGUACCGUCCUAAACAUGUGCUUUAUAGCUAUGCUUAUGUAAUUGGGUACUCUAUAGAUGAUUUAGAGGGCAUUACCCUUGUCACUUGUAUUGUUUCCCUGGUUGAGUGCUCUUUCAGGUUGUUGCUUGUGCACGAUCCACUACAUGCUGACCAAGUUCGAGAUGACAUUCCCUGGGACCCCGGUGGACCCAUGGCAUGGGGAUGAGGAGAAGCAAGGAGCACACAUGAAGAGAGAAGCUGGAGCAGGCAUGAGGAUAGAGAAGCAAAAAGAGAAGAGCUGCAGCUUAGAGAGUGAUCAAGCGAGUGCUACUUCAUAGUGCCCGGUUAGCUGUUUCAUGACCCAUUCUGAGUAUAUCAUCCAUUGAUGCUUGCUGAAUUAAAUUGCUAUUUGGGUUGCUUGUGCCAUUUAUUAAAUGUUGUCCCACUGAAUUUCACCUUUGACAUAUGGUGCUUGAUGAGAAUAUGCGAACUAAUUGUUGAACGCCUUGUAACUAGUGAUCUACACCCUGUUUGCACUGCUGAAAGUAGUGAAAGCUAUUAGUUCUGAGUGCUCAAAUCCCUAGUACACUAGAAAACUAAAUCAUUUUCUGCAUUUACUAUGAUACACCUAGAUCACCAUGUUUAGAUGCUGAAUUUGUGCCAAGUGUGUUCCCAUUGAGAGCAAUCACCUAACCACUAUGGAAUAGCAUGCUAUGUUCCCUGGAUCGGUAGCAUGUGAACCAGACAUGGAGAAGUGAUGAUUCCUAUUUUUGUGCUUAUGCAUUGUUCAUUUAAGAUAAGUAAUAAUGAAUAAAUUAGUCUGACUACCUACAGUAGCAUGUCAUGUUCUUGGGAUCGGUGGCAUGUGAAAUCGGGUUAGCUUGGGCAGUAAUUAUUAUAAAAAUGUAAUUGUCGAACCAGGUGUAUACCAUGUUCUCGGGAUCGGUGGUAUGUUCCUUUGGGGAGACAAACAAGAAAACUAUAUAAUUGGUCGAGCCGGGUGUAUACCAUGUUCUCGGGAUCGGUGGUAUGUUCCUUUGGUGAGAUCAAUAAAAUAUUAUCAUUACUUCCUUCAAAUUCAAUAAGUGGUUCAACCACAAAGUUAUAUUUCUGCAAAUAAGAGAUUUAAUUCCAGUUCUUUUUGUUCUCGGGAUCAUGCUCUCUUUAGGAAUCAUUUGGCGCAAUCAUCAUUUAAACUUGUUGGUCCUCUUUUAUCAUUGUAAAAGUUUAAAAUGGUCAUGCUUACCAGUAUCCUACUGCUUUGUAGCACUCUUAACCAUCAAUUUUCACUAGCUAAGUCCAAAAGCAUGCAUUGUUUAGAGAUCUACUUCACUUGGACAUUCUUUACUCAGUUCACUGUUCACAUUCUUGCUCUUGUCAUAUGCCUUUACUUGAGGACAAGCAAAGAUUUAAGUGUGGGGGAACUUGAUAAGUAUAUUUCACAUAUAUAAUUUUGGUACUCAAAUAUAGCUUCUAUCGUGACAUAUUCGUCCAUUCUUGCCAUGAUUGAUUGAAUAUUGCUUGAUAAUCAUCAAAGAGGAUCAUUUACUAGUCUUUGGUCUAUCUUGCAGAAAUGUGCGCAAAGGCACUAAUAAUCGUCAAGAUUCCGUCUAUGUGGCUAUCGUGAAGAGUGAAGAAGAGAAGAGAAGGAAGAAGAGACUUGUGUGAGAUGAAGAGAAGUAACCAGGGGGCUAGGUAAAGAAGUGGGAGGACCUUCUUGUGAAGAAAGAAGAGAAGAAAGAGGGCCAAAUCACAAAGUGCAGAUGAGAGGAGGGGAACAAAAUCUAGGCGCUGGAGGGAUCCGAUCGGGCCUGGCCAUAUCUCCAUCUCUCUUCUCCCCCACCACUUCUUCCACCUCAGGCCGCCGCCACGGCCAGGCCGGCGUGGUGGUGUGCCUCUGCAGCCCAGCCACCACCAUCUCCAUCCAUCUCCGCUGCGGCACCAUCCACAUCAGCGCCGCUGCGCCAUCCAUCACCAGCACCAACACCCAGCGCCACCUAGCACCUCCACACGCUCCACACCGCCACCAUCUAUCACCACCGCACCACUGAACACCUCCGUGCGAGAGUUUCCCUGCUGCCGUCCUUCUUCCCUUGCCUCUGUAGCUGCUCUUUCUUGCGCCCCUGUGCUGCUGCCUUUCUUCUCCCCUUGCUACUGCUCCCCUUUUCUAGCGCCUCAACCUGCUGCUGCUUCUCCUUCGCCUGCUGCUAGUCCCUUUCCCCACGCCUCUGCUGCUCCUCCUCUUAAAACUGCUACUGCUCUUCUUUCCCACGUUCCUGCUCUGCACUCUGCUUCUCACCUCCGUUGCUGCUGUUUCUCUUCUGAACCUCUGCUACUGUUCAACUCUGAACCUCUGCAUCUGUGUUGAAUGUGCUUUCAGUGUUCUUGAGAUGUGUAAAACUGUUCAAUAUUCAGCUUACAAUUUGUGAAACUUUUGUGAUUCAGCGGUGUCUCUAUGUUAUACAUAUAGAUUGUGUAUUGCUCGCUGCAGUAAAUUUCAGUUUGUAAGUUCCUGUGAUAGCUCUAGUACAUGUGACUUUUAUGUUGUCUCAAGUUCCUGUUAUAUAUAUACAUAUGUGUGUGUCUGUGAUGUGAUACAUUUAUGUUCUGUCCUACAACCUUAUUGUGUUAGCAUUUUAUUUCUCAUGUAAAACGAAAAUACCAAAAAUAUUAUUGAAGAUAAUCUGAACCUCCUUUGCCC